AGUCUCUGCAGUAGUUGAUACGCCGGUUUUGUAAACUGGAAAAAUAGAUAUAUCUGAGAUUU
RNAcentral lists this transfer RNA (62 nucleotides) under Pseudodendrothrips mori. RNAcentral's name for it is "tRNA-Thr". Lineage: Eukaryota; Metazoa; Arthropoda; Insecta; Thysanoptera; Thripidae. The record is from RNAcentral.